RNAcentral lists this ribosomal RNA (414 nucleotides) under uncultured prokaryote. RNAcentral's name for it is "bacterial SSU rRNA". It matches the Rfam family "Bacterial small subunit ribosomal RNA", at positions 505 to 918 of the family's 1533-position model. The record is from RNAcentral.
GUGCCAGCAGCCGCGGUAAUACGGAGGGUGCAAGCGUUAAUCGGAAUUACUGGGCGUAAAGCGUGUGUAGGUGGUUCGUUAAGUCGGAUGUGAAAGCCCCGGGCUCAACCUGGGAACUGCAUUUGAUACUGACGGACUAGAGUUUAGCAGAGGAAAGCGGAAUUCCGGGUGUAGCGGUGAAAUGCGUAGAUAUCCGGAGGAACACCAGUGGCGAAGGCGGCUUUCUGGGUUAAAACUGACACUGAGGCACGAAAGCGUGGGUAGCAAACAGGAUUAGAUACCCUGGUAGUCCACGCCCGAAACGAUGUCGACUGGCUGUCGUGUUCAUUUGGAACUUGGUAGCGAAGCUAACGCGUUAAGUCGACCGCCUGGGGAGUACGGCCGCAAGGUUGAAACUCAAAUGAAUUGGCGGGG